Molecule: ribosomal RNA, 497 nt
Filed under: uncultured bacterium
Lineage: Bacteria
Description: partial 16S ribosomal RNA
Rfam family: Bacterial small subunit ribosomal RNA
Source: RNAcentral
GAUGAACGCUGGCGGCGUGCCUAAUACAUGCAAGUCGAGCGAACAGACGAGGAGCUUGCUCCUCUGACGUUAGCGGCGGACGGGUGAGUAACACGUGGAUAACCUACCUAUAAGACUGGGAUAACUUCGGGAAACCGGAGCUAAUACCGGAUAAUAUAUUGAACCGCAUGGUUCAUUAGUGAAAGACGGUUUUGCGGUAACUUAUAGAUGAAUCCGCGCCGCAUUAGCUAGUUGGUAAGGUAACGGCUUACCAAGGCAACGAUGCGUAGCCGACCUGAGAGGGUGAUCGGCCACACUGGAACUGAGACACGGUCCAGACUCCUACGGGAGGCAGCAGUAGGGAAUCUUCCGCAAUGGGCGAAAGCCUGACGGAGCAACGCCGCGUGAGUGAUGAAGGUCUUCGGAUCGUAAAACUCUGUUAUUAGGGAAGAACAAAUGUGUAAGUAACUAUGCACGUCUUGACGGUACCUAAUCAGAAAGCCACGGCUAACUACGUG